RNAcentral lists this unclassified non-coding RNA (220 nucleotides) under plant metagenome. Its description in RNAcentral is "partial contains small subunit ribosomal RNA, internal transcribed spacer 1, and 5.8S ribosomal RNA". The record is from RNAcentral.
UUUCCGUAGGUGAACCUGCGGAAGGAUCAUUACAGAGUUCAUGCCCUCACGGGUAGAUCUCCCACCCUUGAAUAUUUAUACCUUAGUUGCUUUGGCAGGCCGUGGAAACACCAUGGGCUCCGGCUUAUGCGUGCCUGCCAGAGAAAACAAACUCUGUUUUUAGUGAUGUCUGAGUACUAUAUAAUAGUUAAAACUUUCAACAACGGAUCUCUUGGUUCUG